Molecule: long non-coding RNA, 992 nt
Filed under: Nicotiana benthamiana
Lineage: Eukaryota; Viridiplantae; Streptophyta; Magnoliopsida; Solanales; Solanaceae
Description: long non-coding RNA (NBEN_LNC006983)
Source: RNAcentral
GCAUUCAACUACAUCGCAAUGGCGAAGCUUAAAGUUGUUAACAUUGUUUUCUUUCUAUUAUUGGGUAUAGGAAUAUGUUCAGCUGCUAGAACCCUCCUCACUUAUGAUCAUGUAGGUGUUGGGGGUGAGGUAGGUGCCUAUGGUGCAGGCCAUGGCAUUGGCGGUGGCGCUGGUGGUGGUGUUGCUGGUGGAGGCUAUGCUGGUGGUGGUGGAGGAGGUUCCGCCUAUGGAGCAGGCCAUGGCAUUGGGGGUGGCGCUGAUGGUGGUGUUGCUGGUGGUGGCUAUGCUGGUGGUGGUGGAGGAGGUUCCGGUGGAGGUGGUGGAUAUGGAGCUGCAGGUGACCAUGGUUAUGCCAGCGGAGGUGGCAGUGGAGGUGGAGCCGGUGGUGGUUCUGGCUAUGCCGCCGGAGGAGACCAUGGUGCUGGAUAUUCUGGAGGAGGUGGUGGUGGAAGCGGGGCAGGAGGUGGUUACGCUGGUGGAGAACACGAUGCUGGACAUGCAAGUGCUGGUGGUGAAGGUGGUGGUAGUGGAUAAUGUGAAAUUCGAAGAAGCAACCAAUUCAGCUGCUAGAACCCUCCUCACUUAUGAUCAUGUAGGUGUUGGGGGUGAGGUUGGCGCCUAUGGUGCAGGUCAUGGCAUUGGAGGCUAUGCUGGUGGCGGCGGAGGGGGUUCCGGUGGAGGUGGUGGAUAUGGAGCUGCAGGUGACCAUGGUUAUGCCAGCGGAGGUGGCAGUGGAGGUGGAGCCGGUGGUGGUUCUAGCUAUGCAGCUGGAGGAGAUGGUGGUGGAAGCGGAGCAGGAGGUGGCUAUGCUGGUGGAGGACACGAUGCUGGACAUGCAAGUGGUGGUGGUGAACGUAGUGGUAGCGGAUAUGGUGCUGGAGGAGCACCGGGUGGUGGUUAUGGUGCUGGAGGUGGUGGAGGCAGUGGCGGCGGCGGAGCAGCUGCAGGUGGAGCACAUGGUAGUGGAUAUGCCGAAGGCGCAGGAGGAGGUA